GAUGAACGCUGGCGGCGUGCCUAAUACAUGCAAGUCGAGCGAACAGACGAGGAGCUUGCUCCUCUGACGUUAGCGGCGGACGGGUGAGUAACACGUGGAUAACCUACCUAUAAGACUUGGAUAACUUCGGGAAACCGGAGCUAAUACCGGAUAAUAUAUUGAACCGCAUGGUUCAAUAGUGAAAGACGGUUUUGCUGUCACUUAUAGAUGGAUCCGCGCCGCAUUAGCUAGUUGGUAAGGUAACGGCUUACCAAGGCGACGAUGCGUAGCCGACCUGAGAGGGUGAUCGGCCACACUGGAACUGAGACACGGUCCAGACUCCUACGGGAGGCAGCAGUAGGGAAUCGUCCGCAAUGGGCGAAAGCCUGACGGAGCAACGCCGCGUGAGUGAUGAAGGUCUUCGGAUCGUAAAACUCUGUUAUUAGGGAAGAACAAAUGUGUAAGUAACUAUGCACGUCUUGACGGUACCUAAUCAGAAAGCCACGGCUAACUACGUG
Molecule: ribosomal RNA, 497 nt
Filed under: uncultured bacterium
Lineage: Bacteria
Description: partial 16S ribosomal RNA
Rfam family: Bacterial small subunit ribosomal RNA
Source: RNAcentral